AGGCCAGCAGUGAAGGCCCAAAUACUGGCAGAUUUCAUAGUAGAGUGUACCAUCCCAGAGGAGGCUGAACCUGAACAAAGUGAAGUUGACGACCUGAAGUCCCAACCGAACUCCCCCGAAGAAGAGGCCGAUCCUGCUAAUCGCUUUUGGGCCCUCUAUGUGGACGGAUCUUCUAACAUGUCGGGCACAGGUGCGGGCC
RNAcentral lists this long non-coding RNA (199 nucleotides) under Elaeis guineensis (African oil palm). RNAcentral describes it as "long non-coding RNA (EGUI_LNC070467)". The record is from RNAcentral. Lineage: Eukaryota; Viridiplantae; Streptophyta; Magnoliopsida; Arecales; Arecaceae.